CAGUAACGGCGAGUGAAGCGGCAACAGCUCAAAUUUGAAAUCUGGCUCCUUCGGGGUCCGAAUUGUAAUUUGUAGAGAGUGCUUCGGGCGAGACCUCGGUCUAAGUCCAUUGGAACAUGGUGUCAUAGAGGGUGAGAAUCCCGUAUGCGACCGUGGCUCGAGCCCAUGUAAAGCCUCUUCGACGAGUCGAGUUGUUUGGGAAUGCAGCUCAAAACGGGUGGUAAAUUUCAUCUAAAGCUAAAUACUGGCUGGAGACCGAUAGCGCACAAGUAGAGUGAUCGAAAGACGAAAAGCACUUUGGAAAGAGAGUUAAACAGUACGUGAAAUUGUUGAAAGGGAAGCGCUUGCAACCAGACCUGCCCGUAGGCGAUCCGCCGCUGUUCUCAGCGGUGUACUCGCUCUGCGAUCAGGCCAGCAUCGGUUUCGGCGGUCGGAUAAAGGCCUUGGGAAUGUAGCUUCCCUUCGGGGGAGUCUUAUAGCCCUCGGUGCAAUGCGGCCAGCCGGGACCGAGGACCGCGCUUCGGCUAGGAUGCUGGCGUAAUGGUUGUAAGCGACCCGUCUUGAAACACGGACCAAGGAGUCUAACAUCUAUGCGAGUGUUUGGGUGUCAAACCCAUACGCGGAAUGAAAGUGAACGGAGGUGAGAACCCUCAAGGGCGCAUCAUCGACCGAUCCAGAUGUCUUCGGAUGGAUUUGAGUAGGAGCAUAGCUGUUGGGACCCGAAAGAUGGUGAACUAUGCCUGAAUAGGGUGAAGCCAGAGGAAACUCUGGUGGAGGCUCGCAGCGGUUCUGACGUGCAAAUCGAUCGUCAAAUUUGGGUAUAGGGGCGAAAGACUAAUC
RNAcentral lists this ribosomal RNA (840 nucleotides) under Xanthoparmelia plittii. RNAcentral describes it as "eukaryotic LSU rRNA". It matches the Rfam family "Eukaryotic large subunit ribosomal RNA", at positions 81 to 936 of the family's 3401-position model. The record is from RNAcentral. Lineage: Eukaryota; Fungi; Ascomycota; Lecanoromycetes; Lecanorales; Parmeliaceae.